GACGAACGCUGGCGGCGUGCUUAACACAUGCAAGUCGAACGGAAAGGCCCUGCUUUUGUGGGGUGCUCGAGUGGCGAACGGGUGAGUAACACGUGAGUAACCUGCCCUUGACUUUGGGAUAACUUCAGGAAACUGGGGCUAAUACCGGAUAGGAGCUCCUGCUGCAUGGUGGGGGUUGGAAAGUUUCGGCGGUUGGGGAUGGACUCGCGGCUUAUCAGCUUGUUGGUGGGGUAGUGGCUUACCAAGGCUUUGACGGGUAGCCGGCCUGAGAGGGUGACCGGCGACAGGUGAAAGGGGACACGGUCCAGGCGACUAAGGGAGGCGGCAGUGGGGAAUUUGGGCAAAAGGGCGGAAGCCGGAACCAGCGAGGCCGCGUGAGUGAAGAAGGCCUUCGGUUGGGAAUGGUCGUGUGUGAGGGAAGAAAAGGUAGAGGCUAAUAUCCUUGGACAAUGACGGUACCUGAAGAAUAAGCACCGGCUAACUACGUG
This 488-nucleotide ribosomal RNA is filed under the name uncultured bacterium. Its description in RNAcentral is "partial 16S ribosomal RNA". It matches the Rfam family "Bacterial small subunit ribosomal RNA", at positions 28 to 507 of the family's 1533-position model. The record is from RNAcentral.